Molecule: ribosomal RNA, 475 nt
Filed under: uncultured bacterium
Lineage: Bacteria
Description: bacterial SSU rRNA
Rfam family: Bacterial small subunit ribosomal RNA
Source: RNAcentral
UGGCGGCAGGCUUAACACAUGCAAGUCGAGCGGUAGCAGAUCUAGCUUGCUAGAUGCAGACGAGCGGCGGACGGGUGAGUAACGCGUAGGAACCUGCCCAGUAGUGGGGGAUAGCCCGGGGAAACUCGGAUUAAUACCGCAUACGCUCUACGGAGGAAAGAGGGGGCUUCGGCUCUCGCUAUUGGAUGGGCCUGCGUGAGAUUAGCUAGUUGGUGAGGUAAUGGCUCACCAAGGCGACGAUCUCUAGCUGGUCUGAGAGGAUGAUCAGCCACACUGGGACUGAGACACGGCCCAGACUCCUACGGGAGGCAGCAGUGGGGAAUAUUGCACAAUGGGCGCAAGCCUGAUGCAGCCAUGCCGCGUGUGUGAAGAAGGCUUUCGGGUUGUAAAGCACUUUCAGUGGGGAGGAAGGCCUCGUAGUUAAUAGCUGCGAGGAUUGACGUUACCCACAGAAGAAGCACCGGCUAACUCCGUG